RNAcentral lists this ribosomal RNA (376 nucleotides) under uncultured bacterium. RNAcentral's name for it is "bacterial SSU rRNA". It matches the Rfam family "Bacterial small subunit ribosomal RNA", at positions 524 to 898 of the family's 1533-position model. The record is from RNAcentral.
CACGUAGGAUCCAAGCGUUAUCCGAAUUUACUGGGCGUAAAGCGCGUGUAGGCGGUUCGGUAAGUUGGGCGUGAAAGCUCCCGGCUCAACUGGGAGAGGUCGUCCAAAACUGCCGGGCUAGAGGACGGUAGAGGAAGGUGGAAUUCCCGGUGUAGUGGUGAAAUGCGUAGAUAUCGGGAGGAACACCAGUGGCGAAGGCGGCCUUCUGGGCCGUACCUGACGCUCAGACGCGAAAGCUAGGGGAGCGAACGGGAUUAGAUACCCCGGUAGUCCUAGCUGUAAACGAUGUGAACUUGGCGUUGGUGGGGUAAAAGCCAUCAGUGCCGUAGCAAACGCGAUAAGUUCACCGCCUGGGGAUUACGGUCGCAAGGCUAAA